Molecule: long non-coding RNA, 642 nt
Organism: Quercus lobata
Lineage: Eukaryota; Viridiplantae; Streptophyta; Magnoliopsida; Fagales; Fagaceae
Exons: 2
Source: RefSeq, a predicted model, not a curated record
UGUUUGAAAAUUAUCAAGGGCCAAAAACGUGCCACAUCAUUUAAAAUGUAAACACCACACUUAACCCCAGUUAAACAUUUAAACUACUUUAACUCAGGUUAAACACCUAAACUAGAGGCACUCAACCGGACAAACCACUGAAAAUAUUUCAGACUCUCUUUCAAACUCUCUCUCACCAAACACAUAUGAAAAUUUCAAACUCUCUUCUCCAAGGAUUUUCUCUUUGCAUCCCACGGUCCUCAGUGUCGCCGGUGCCACCAACCAUCGUGCCAAGCCACCGUUGUUGCGUGGGCUAUGUCUCACACCAACCAAGCAUCAGCAGAAAGUGCCGCCCACUUGCAGGCAUAGGCACUACCCAGCAUCACCGGACUGCUCCGCUAGAACAGUCACUGCCUAGAAUGGAAUGGGCAAGUUGUUUAACAUGAGGCAAGUCGAAGUGAUCAAGCUAAGAUUGAAAGUUGUGGACUUUGGAUGGAAUGUAUAGUCAAGAAGCAAGAGGUGGAAUGUGUAGUCAAGCAAUAGGCACAACAAUUGUAGAAAUUUCAUGUUAUUAUAAUCAUGUAAUUAAAGUGUAUAUUUCAAUGGAAUUCUUGUUAUGUGACCAAAGUGUACAUUUUAAUAAAAUUUGUUCAUUUUUUAUUA